CUGGCUCAGGAUGAACGCUGGCGGCGUGCCUAAUACAUGCAAGUCGAACGAGUUCUCGUUGAUGAUCGGUGCUUGCACCGAGAUUCAACAUGGAACGAGUGGCGGACGGGUGAGUAACACGUGGGUAACCUGCCCUUAAGUGGGGGAUAACAUUUGGAAACAGAUGCUAAUACCGCAUAGAUCCAAGAACCGCAUGGUUCUUGGCUGAAAGAUGGCGUAAGCUAUCGCUUUUGGAUGGACCCGCGGCGUAUUAGCUAGUUGGUGAGGUAAUGGCUCACCAAGGCGAUGAUACGUAGCCGAACUGAGAGGUUGAUCGGCCACAUUGGGACUGAGACACGGCCCAAACUCCUACGGGAGGCAGCAGUAGGGAAUCUUCCACAAUGGACGCAAGUCUGAUGGAGCAACGCCGCGUGAGUGAAGAAGGCUUUCGGGUCGUAAAACUCUGUUGUUGGAGAAGAAUGGUCGGCAGAGUAACUGUUGUCGGCGUGACGGUAUCCAACCAGAAAGCCACGGCUAACUACGUGCCAGCAGCCGCGGUAAUACGUAGGUGGCAAGCGUUAUCCGGAUUUAUUGGGCGUAAAGCGAGCGCAGGCGGUUUUUUAAGUCUGAUGUGAAAGCCCUCGGCUUAACCGAGGAAGCGCAUCGGAA
This 648-nucleotide ribosomal RNA is filed under the name Lacticaseibacillus paracasei. Its description in RNAcentral is "bacterial SSU rRNA". It matches the Rfam family "Bacterial small subunit ribosomal RNA", at positions 19 to 631 of the family's 1533-position model. Lineage: Bacteria; Bacillati; Bacillota; Bacilli; Lactobacillales; Lactobacillaceae. The record is from RNAcentral.